This 840-nucleotide ribosomal RNA is filed under the name uncultured bacterium. Its description in RNAcentral is "bacterial SSU rRNA". It matches the Rfam family "Bacterial small subunit ribosomal RNA", at positions 32 to 890 of the family's 1533-position model. The record is from RNAcentral.
AACGCUGACAGAAUGCUUAACACAUGCAAGUCUACUCGAAAGCUCUUCGGAGUGAUUAGGGUGGCGGACGGGUGAGUAACGCGUAAAGAACUUGCCCUUCAGACUGGGACAACUGUUGGAAACGACAGCUAAUACCGGAUAUUAUGAGACUAAGGCAUCUUAGACUUAUGAAAGCUAUAUGCGCUGAAGGAGAGCUUUGCGUCCUAUUAGCUAGUUGGUGAGGUAAUGGCUCACCAAGGCGACGAUAGGUAGCCGGCCUGAGAGGGUGAACGGCCACAAGGGGACUGAGACACGGCCCUUACUCCUACGGGAGGCAGCAGUGGGGAAUAUUGGACAAUGGACCAAAAGUCUGAUCCAGCAAUUCUGUGUGUUUGAUGAAGGCCUUCGGGUUGUAAAGAACUUUCAGUGGGGAAGAAGCAAGUGACGGUACCCACAGAAGAAGCGACGGCUAAAUACGUGCCAGCAGCCGCGGUAAUACGUAUGUCGCAAGCGUUAUCCGGAAUUAUUGUGCAUAAAGGGCGUCUAGGCGGUCUAAUAAGUCUGAUGUGAAAAUGCGGGGCUCAACUCCGUAUUGCGUUGGAAACUGUUAGACUAGAGUUUUGGAGAGGUAGGCGGAACUACAAGUGUAGAGGUGAAAUUCGUAGAGAUUUGUAGGAAUGCCGAUGACGAAGGUAGCUUACUGGACAAAUACUGACGCUGAAGCGCGUAAGCUAGGGGAGCAAACAGGAUUAGAUACCCUGGUAGUCCUAGCUGUAAACGAUGAUCACUGGGUGUGGAGGGGUCGAACUCUGUGCGAAGCUAAUGCGAUAAGUGAUCCGCCUGGGGGAGGUACUGUCCGCA